Molecule: ribosomal RNA, 565 nt
Filed under: uncultured bacterium
Lineage: Bacteria
Description: partial 16S ribosomal RNA
Rfam family: Bacterial small subunit ribosomal RNA
Source: RNAcentral
UGGGGAAUAUUGGACAAUGGGGGCAACCCUGAUCCAGCCAUGCCGCGUGAGUGAUGAAGGCCCUAGGGUUGUAAAGCUCUUUUGUGCGGGAAGAUAAUGACGGUACCGCAAGAAUAAGCCCCGGCUAACUUCGUGCCAGCAGCCGCGGUAAUACGAAGGGGGCUAGCGUUGCUCGGAAUCACUGGGCGUAAAGGGUGCGUAGGCGGGUUUCUAAGUCAGAGGUGAAAGCCUGGAGCUCAACUCCAGAACUGCCUUUGAUACUGGAAGUCUUGAGUAUGGCAGAGGUGAGUGGAACUGCGAGUGUAGAGGUGAAAAUUCGUAGAUAUUCGCAAGAACACCAGUGGCGAAGGCGGCUCACUGGGCCAUUACUGACGCUAAGGCACGAAAAGCGUGGGGAGCAAAACAGGAUUAGAUACCCUGGUAGUCCACGCCGUAAACGAUGAAUGCCAGCCGUUAGUGGGUUUUACUCACUAGUGGCGCAGCUAACGCUUUAAGCAUUCCGCCUGGGGAGUACGGUCGCAAGAUUAAAAACUCAAAUGAAUUGACGGGGUCAUAGCUGUUUCCU